This is a long non-coding RNA of Bradysia coprophila, 1691 nucleotides long. NCBI's taxonomy places the organism in Eukaryota, Metazoa, Arthropoda, Insecta, Diptera, Sciaridae. The record is from RefSeq and is a predicted model, not a curated record.
CUCUUUUAUGCGCAACGCACAUUCACGAUUUUCGAGAUCGUGUCGGUGCACACAAAAAAGCCGAGAGAAUUGUUUACACAACUUCGUGCCUCUCUCAAUGGCUUCGAGACAACAACAAUUCGUGCCACCAUCGAAUAUCAACGAAGACGGUCUCUUCACAUUGAGUCAAACAUUCAAUUCGUAAACAGUCGUAUGGAUGGGAAUAGCGCGCGGUUAUUAUGUGCAUUAAUAAACCGUCUCGGUGUUUUUUUUCUUGAAUGACUUCAAAAAAAAAGUGAAAUUCGUUUAUUUAUUCUAUAAACCAGAGUUGAUAUAAAGUAAUAAAUGGCGCCGAUGGAAGAGUAAAUUAUUAAAUUAAAUUGUUGUGAAAAUAUAGCACCAAAACAACGUAAGAAAAAAAAGUUCAUUGUGUUAAAAAUUACCAAAGUAAAAACAAAUGAAUCUUGCGGUUAGAAUUCGUCGAAAUUAAACCGGUUUAUUAUAUUGUGAAAACUGUGAAACAGAACUAAAAGAUUAGUUCAAAUUAGUGUGUAUCGUAUUAGAUUGCCAAUCUAAUGAAAUCAUCGUCGUUUAUAAUUGGAUUAGAAGCUGAGCUCUUAUGGAUUAAUACUUAUCUGAAUGUACAAGAUGUCGAAUUAUGUUGCAUUAAGUAAUUACUUAUGAAACAUGUUCUAAAUUGUGGAUUAUGUGGUUUUACCAAUGAAAGAGAGACGAAAAAGUGAAUAAAAAAAAAAUUAUAUUUCAAAUUAAAAUUCCAACGAAUUGAACGCAGAAGAAAGAAAGAAGAAAAAAAAUGGUGAAGAAGGUUGUGGGUUUUUAAUCGCAUAAUUAAUAAUUUUAAAAAGUGCUAUACAGUGGUAUACCUAAUGAGAAAUCCAACGAUUUUAGAAAUGUAAAGGCAUUAAAAAAAAUUGAAAUAAAAGUUUUUUCCAAAAAGAAAAAACAACAAAAAUUCAAUAAAGUGUUAACAAAGCAAUAAAAAAUUUGUAAUAAGCGGUGAAUUAGUGCAAUAUAAUUUUAAAAUUGAUUAAUCAAUAUUGUGACAUAGCCGCACCACUCGGAAGAAGUGUGGAAAAAAAAAGAAAUGAACAACUGAUUUCAUCCAGGGUAUUUUUGAUUGAGAAACGAGAGAAGAAGAAAGAAAAGAAAAUUUGUCAGAAGUUUGAUUGUGUUUUUGUUCUUUGUGAAGAAACUCAAUUUUCAAUUACUUUAAUCUAAGAAGGGUGCCCUUCUCUUUACGAGGGGUACUUUUCACGUAUAACCAUUGCGAUCAUAGUACGUGUGGAACCCUCCGGCACCCCGCAGGACUCUGCGGGGCCACAGAGCCCGAAAAAACUGGGCGCUCAUCAGCCUCCAGUUAAGCAGGUAUGUAAUCAUCGUUAAUUCCAUUUAUAAUGUUUAUUGCACGAUAAGCUAUAUUUAUAAACACACUUAACAACUUUUCUCUCUGACAUACCAACACGUGAUGGGUAAGUUGCGGUUGUAAAAAAAGUAUUAAAAAAAUGUGUGUAAAUAAAAAAGCUAUCAUUAAUAUAAAAUAUUAUGUUUGUUGAAACCAUAAAAUACAAUAAAUAAUAAAAUAAACGUCAGUCAGUUUUAUGAUUACGGCUUGUCAUUAAAACCAAACCGAAAAUAAAUAAAAAAAAUGGUUUUGCGAGAGAUUGUUAGAUAAUAAAACAUUGUUUUUACGU